UACGGAGGGUGCAAGCGUUAUCCGGAUUUAUUGGGCGUAAAGCGCUCGCAGGUGGUUCGUUGCGUCGUGCGUGAAAUCCCACGGCUCAACCGUGGAACUGCUGGGUAUACUGGUUGUCUUGAGCCAGCUAGGGGCGAGCGGAACAGACGGUGGAGCGGUGAAAUGCGUAGAUAUCGUCUGGAACGCCGAAGGUGAAAACAGCUCGCUGGGGCUGCGCUGACGCUGAGACACGAAAGCCAGGGGAGCGAACGGG
Molecule: ribosomal RNA, 253 nt
Filed under: uncultured bacterium
Lineage: Bacteria
Description: partial 16S ribosomal RNA
Rfam family: Bacterial small subunit ribosomal RNA
Source: RNAcentral